Molecule: ribosomal RNA, 999 nt
Filed under: Triticum aestivum (bread wheat)
Lineage: Eukaryota; Viridiplantae; Streptophyta; Magnoliopsida; Poales; Poaceae
Description: partial small subunit ribosomal RNA
Source: RNAcentral
AUGACCGAAGAGGCGGCCCUAGCCACAACAUCUGGGACCAGCCAGGAAGCACCACCAUCCAGAUCCAUUGUCGAAGAAGGCCCCUGCCUCCUCGCCUGGCUCGAAAGGCGCCGAACCGUCGACAAUGAACACGUUCACCCUAGAACCUGGAUGAGAGGCACCGAUGGCAUCCACAUGGUUGGGAUUAGGCAGACGCGACCUGUCGUCGACUUCUCACCUGGAGCAGAGCAACACCGAAAACCAGAGACUUGGGCAUUCAAGAGGAGAGCUGCCAGGAUGCACGAAGGAGCAGCAGCCCACCACCAGGGGGAGCACAGCACCGCUGGAGAUAACUGCUGCCGCCGACACCCACCGCACACCUCACGGCGAAGACCAAAUUCCCACCUUGCUCCCAAAGCAGCGCCUUCAAGAAGGAAACGGCGCCAAGGGCGUCGCCGCCGCCCAACAUCGUUGGGUUUUCACCCGGGAGGACAAGGGGGAGGGGGUGGGGAAGGUAUACCUGACCAGCGCCUCCAAGAAGGUGCGCGGCGCCCGCGGGCGUCGCCGCCGUCACAGCCAGCAAGGCGGCUAGGGAUUUCUCCUGGCAAACUUCCCGUCCCCACUCCCACCCGGCGAAGAAACCGGCGUCCAGGACGGAGCCGGCCAGAUCUGGGGGGAGGACUUGCGAAUCCGCCGAAGAGGGUGGAGGGCGGCCAGAUCUGGAGCCGCGGAGCCGAAGCCGCCGCCGCCACGCCCUGGCGCGCAUCCACCGGCUGCCUCGCCGUCCACACGGCCGAGGGGCACCGGCCCGCACCUGCGCCACCAUGCGCCGAGGGUCCGGUGGCGCCAAUCCCGCCGGGGCCGCCGCCCCGGGUCGCAAGGCCCCCCGCGAGAGAUGCAGAGCAGCAGGAGAGGCCCCGCCGCCACCAUCCUCAGCAGCGCCCCGGGCGAAGCCGGCGGCUGCCUCAGGCGGCGGCGAGGAGAGGGGUGGCGGGGGAGGAGACGGCGGCGGCGGGCUAG